GCCACGGUAGCUCAGUGGUAGAGCAGAGGACUGAAAAUCCUUGUGUCGGUGGUUCAAUUCCUCCCCGUGGCACCA
This 75-nucleotide transfer RNA is filed under the name bacterium. RNAcentral describes it as "tRNA-Phe". It matches the Rfam family "tRNA". From Rfam's summary of the family: Transfer RNA (tRNA) molecules are approximately 80 nucleotides in length. Their secondary structure includes four short double-helical elements and three loops (D, anti-codon, and T loops). The record is from RNAcentral.